ACAAUCCUGAGUUCUGAUGCCGUGCCUGAGGUGUGUGGAAUCACCAGAAAGUGUAUUCACGUAGAUAGAGGAAUUACAAGUCAACCUGUGUAAACAUGUUAGGUGGAGCUCUUUCAUAUGAAUGAUGCUGAAUUUUACCUUCUAAAUUGAGUGUUCAGUUGAGCAUCUUUUUUUUUUUUUUAGUAUUUAUUUUGAGUUGUGCACUUGAGUUUCUCUUUCAUGUUUGCGUGUGCAUUUUCUAGAAUGGCUUCAGUCAUCCAUCUUCUCUGGAGGCUGCAGACCAGCCAGAUCCACUACAGCUACAACGAGGAGAAAGAUGAGGACCACUGCGGCUCCCAGUGGGCACAUCUGCCAGCAAAUCGCGACUGCUCCCACAGACGGGCCCUGGGGGACCAUUCUCAGGCAUUUCUGCAAGCCAUUGCAGACAGUAACAUUCAGGAUCACAACGUGAAGGACUUUUUGUGUCAAAUAGAAAGGUACUGUAGGCAGUGCCAUUUGACCACACCGAUCAUGUUUCCCCCCGAGCACCCCGUGGAAGAGGUCGGUCGCUUGCUGUUAUGUUGCUUCUUAAAACAUGAAGAUUUAGGUAAGGAGCUCAAUAUCUGUGUACUUUAGCUAGACUGCAGAUUCCUCGACUAACCUGUGGUACAUAUUCAUCCCUUCCCUGUCCUUCUUUUAAAUGUCUUUUUGCAGGUCAUGUGGCAUUAUCUUUAGUUCAUGCAGGUGCACUUGAUACUGAGCAAAUAAAGCACAGAACGUUGCCUAAGUCAGUGGUGGAUGUUUGUAGAGUUGUCUACCAAGCAAAAUGUUUGCUCAUUAAGGUGAUAUAUUUUAAUUCUUUUUAUUCUGUGCUUUGCAGACAGUUGCAGAAAUAUUUGUUGUUAAAGUUGUCUUUUCCUGGUUAACUUUGCAGACUCAACAAGAACAGGGCCGUUCUUACAAGGAGGUCUGCACUCCUGUCAUCCAACGUUUGAGAUUCCUCUUUAAUGAAUUGAGACCUGCUGUUUGUAAUGACCUCUCUAUAAUCUCUAAGUUUAAAUUGUUAAGUUCUUUGCCCCGUUGGAGGAGGAUAGCUCAGAAGAUAAUUCGGGAACGGAGGAAAAAGAGAAGUAAGAAUGUAAAAGGACAGAAGAUACUAUUAAAGCAUGUGCUUCACCCUGCCUCGCUGGACCUGUGAUUUCAGAGUGAAGUUUCUCUACUGUUGAUUCCAUGUGACAUUUCUACCUGCUGCCAUCAUUUUUAUGUAUAGUUAUGAUUAAAUACGGAAAUCUUGCUUAUUUUUUCAACCGAUCAGACAAUGAGGCAGUUUAGGAAUUGAGUGUGGUAUGAUUUGAUUACUAGUAAAUUGAUGUUGAAAACGUAAAUAAUCUUUGCUAAAUUGAUGGGAACAAGGACGUAUUUUUAUUUUAUUAGUUAUCCUGGUAAUGAGAUAUAAUGGGAACAUUUAAACUUAUUGCCAUUCUUCUAAAGAAAUGUUUUUUGUUUGGAAAUAUUGAGUAUUCUGAUACAUGGAGAAUUAUAAAGGGAAGCUGAAAGAGUUACUGACAUUUUCCUGGAAGUAGCUGUGUAAGAGUACAGAAAAGUCUUUUUGCAUUAAAUCCAAAUUUGAAUAAAAAUGCUUAGAAAUUAUAAAAUAGUUUAGAAUUUAGUCACUUGUGAUUAUAAAUAAACUACAGAAAUUUCUGAUUAUAUCCUUUUUUUUUUCUUUGAGACGGGGUCUUGCUCUGUCGCCAGGCUGGAGUGCAGUGGUACAAUCUCAGCUCACUGCAACCUCCGCCUCCCAGGUUCAAAUGAUUCCCCUGCCUCAGCCUUCCAAGUAGCUGGGAUUACAGGCAUGCGCCACCACGCCUGACUAAUUUUUGUAUUUUAGUAGAGACGGAGUUUCACCAUGUUGGCCAGGAUGAUCUCGAUCUCCUGGCCUUGUUAUCUGCCUGCCUCGGCCUCCCAAAGUGCUGGGAUUACAGGCAUGAGCCACCCCGCCUGGCCUCUGAUCAUGUUCUUAUGACUUAUACUGAUUUACUCACAAACCUGCUUAUUGAACAGUAUUCAUUACUCAGUUUCUGAUGGGCAUUUUGAACAAUAAGCUUAUGAAAGACUAAAGCGUUUUAGAAGCCAUCCUAAUUUGAUUGUUCCUGAACAAACCCUACACCAUAACAGCCUGUCGGAAUCCGAUGGGUGCUCUGGAUCAGGAAGUCACAGCAGUCACACUGCUGCAAUUCCUUUAACCCAGGCAUGCAGGAACUCAGCCCGGGCCCAGGAGACAAGCCUGCCUCAGCAUGAGGGAGAGAGACUCCACCAUUUGCCAUUUCAUAUCCGUGGGUUCUGAGCCCACACUGUCACUUUUAGAGUUUCUUGUGGGUUUAUAGAUUUAUUGUGUGUUGUUUCAAGCUGGUUUUCUUUUUUUUUUUUGGAAAUUAAGUAACUUAAAAACAUUAAGUGAUUAAUAUUCCUGUUGCUGUGUCAGGGAUCGCCAAGCCUUCUCUCAGGCUUGAUGACUCACCAAAAGGACUCAGAAGAGCUGUUAUACUCACAGCUGUGUUUUUUUUUUUUUUAUUUUUACCGCAAAAAGGAUACAGAUUAAAAUUAGCAAAGGGAAGGGUGCAUGGAGGGAAGUCCAGAGGAAACUAGGCACAAGCUUUGGUGUCUCUCCCUAGUGGCGUCACGUGGAUGUGCUUAGCUCUCCCAGCAACAGUGGGUCACAUCAUGUGUGAAGGAUUGUUAACCAGGCCAGCGCACCUGAACCUCGAGUCUAGAGAUUUUGUUGGGGGCCAGUCACAUACGCAGGCAGUGCCCAUGUGACUGACCUCAAUUACUUACACUCCAGUGCCCCAGUGCAAAAACAAGUGGUCCCUCGCAAGUCACAUCAUUAGCAUAAACUGCCUGGCCAGACCACUGCCACAAGGUCCUGGGUGUCAGGUAUACCAAAAAACUUAUCAGGCAGGAUGUUCCAAGGCCUCAGAACUCAGCUCCUAGAAGAAGGACCAAUCCUGAAGGGACAGACCUUCCUUGGGAAUUUGCAGUGUUUGAGCAACCCCGGCCUGCUAUGUUAGCUCUUUACUGCCCAGGUGUAUUAUCAUGUUGCUUAUUUUUUAUAUUAUAUGCUGAGAAGAUUUAGACCAAAAAUUUUAAAAGAGAUAAAAUAUAGGGAGGAAAUUCCACAUAUCACAAUGAAUUCAAUUAAUUCAGUUACACACUAACAGAACCACUGAACUGGACCAUGGUGGACAAGCCAGGAACUGUGGGCCAAAUUCCACCUCUUGCUUGCUUUGUGCUGCCCGUGGACUAAGACCUUUUUUUUUUUUUCUGCAGUUUGAAAUUGUUUUUUAAAAAUUAAAAGAAGUAUAUUAUUUUUGACACAUGAAAAUUACAUGAAGCUAAAAUUGUAGCACCAUAAAGUUUUACGGGAGCACAGCCACACCUGUUGCUUUAUCUGUGGUUACUUUUUGUGCUACAGCAGCAGAGUUGAGUAUUUCCAACAGACUGGGUGGCCUGAAAGACUCAAAUGUUCACUCUCUGGCACUUGAGGAAGAGCUUGCUGGCUGCUGGGCUUCCCCUACUUCGGGGCUUCUCCCCUUGUCGCACUCUCACUUUGUCUUUUUGUUCUGCCAUGGUGAUCAUUUCACUCUUGUUGUUUGAGCAUUGCAAUUUAUAAUGUUCAGAUGUUUAUUUGAAUGAAAUAUUUGUCUUUCAUGUAAAUCUAAGUAUUUCUUAAUUUAAAAUUAAUAUUUAAGUGUAUGAUUUUUUAUAGUGAAUGAUGUUUUAAAACACAAUUCCUAAGAAGCCAGAAUCUACGGCUGAUGAAGAAAAAAUUGGAAAUGAAGACAGUGAUUUAGAAGAAGCCUGCAUUUUGCCUCAUAGUCCAAUAAAUGUGGACAAGAGACCCAUUGCAAUUAAAUCACCCAAGUUGCAGUGUUUUCUGUGAUUCUGAGGUUAGCUGAAUAGAAUCAUAGCAUGUAGCAAAGGAAUCCA
RNAcentral lists this long non-coding RNA (3969 nucleotides) under Pan troglodytes (chimpanzee). Its description in RNAcentral is "lncRNA (ENSPTRG00000053238.1)". Lineage: Eukaryota; Metazoa; Chordata; Mammalia; Primates; Hominidae. The record is from RNAcentral.